AAGACUAUAGACCUGCGGAGUACCUGCGGAGGGAUCAUUAGUGAAUUGGGCUUAACGUCCUACACUUCCGGCUGUGCGCCUUUCGGCUUGCACGCCUGAUUCUUCACACCACUGUGCACUAUUCGUUUGGUGGCUUGCGCCGCCAUUCGCCUUAUACUUGACGUCUGUAACGAAUGUAAUGACAUUAAUAUGUAACACAACUUUUAACAACGGAUCUCU
This 219-nucleotide unclassified non-coding RNA is filed under the name soil metagenome. RNAcentral describes it as "partial contains 5.8S ribosomal RNA, internal transcribed spacer 2, and large subunit ribosomal RNA". The record is from RNAcentral.